Molecule: long non-coding RNA, 133 nt
Filed under: Jaculus jaculus (lesser Egyptian jerboa)
Lineage: Eukaryota; Metazoa; Chordata; Mammalia; Rodentia; Dipodidae
Description: WT1 antisense RNA conserved region 6 (ENSJJAG00000008902.1)
Rfam family: WT1 antisense RNA conserved region 6
Source: RNAcentral
CAGCCGCGUGCCCCAGGGACCAGCGCACGGCGCACGGCCUGGCUGCGCUCCGGCGGUCACCGUGCGGGCCAGACGCUGACAACUGAAUAAACAGCCCCGCAGCUCUGGGAUCCUUCCAGGGCUGAGGCCACCA